RNAcentral lists this ribosomal RNA (900 nucleotides) under Laccaria sp. Its description in RNAcentral is "eukaryotic LSU rRNA". It matches the Rfam family "Eukaryotic large subunit ribosomal RNA", at positions 63 to 949 of the family's 3401-position model. Lineage: Eukaryota; Fungi; Basidiomycota; Agaricomycetes; Agaricales; Hydnangiaceae. The record is from RNAcentral.
AACUAACAAGGAUUCCCCUAGUAACUGCGAGUGAAGCGGGAAAAGCUCAAAUUUAAAAUCUGGCAGUCUUUGGCUGUCCGAGUUGUAAUCUAGAGAAGUAUUAUCCGCGCUGGACCGUGUACAAGUCUCCUGGAAUGGAGCGUCAUAGAGGGUGAGAAUCCCGUCUUUGACACGGACUGCCAGGGCUUUGUGAUAUGCUCUCAAAGAGUCGAGUUGUUUGGGAAUGCAGCUCAAAAUGGGUGGUAAAUUCCAUCUAAAGCUAAAUAUUGGCGAGAGACCGAUAGCGAACAAGUACCGUGAGGGAAAGAUGAAAAGAACUUUGGAAAGAGAGUUAAACAGUACGUGAAAUUGCUGAAAGGGAAACGCUUGAAGUCAGUCGCGUUGGCCAGGGAUCAACCUUGCUUUUGCUUGGCUUACUUUCUGGUCGAUGGGUCAGCAUCAAUUUUGACUGGUGGAAAAAGUUCAAGGGAAUGUGGCAUCUUCGGAUGUGUUAUAGCCUUUGUUCACAUACAUUGGUUGGGAUUGAGGAACUCAGCACGCCGCAAGGCCGGGUUUUUAACCACGUACGUGCUUAGGAUGCUGGCAUAAUGGCUUUAAUCGACCCGUCUUGAAACACGGACCAAGGAGUCUAACAUGCCUGCGAGUAUUUGGGUGAAAAACCCGAGUGCGUAAUGAAAGUGAAAGUUGAGAUCCCUGUCGUGGGGAGCAUUGACGCCCGGAUCUGACCUUUUGUGACGAUUCUGCGGUAGAGCAUGUAUGUUGGGACCCGAAAGAUGGUGAACUAUGCCUGAAUAGGGUGAAGCCAGAGGAAACUCUGGUGGAGGCUCGUAGCGAUUCUGACGUGCAAAUCGAUCGUCAAAUUUGGGUAUAGGGGCGAAAGACUAAUCGAACCAUCUAGUA